AUUGAACGCUGGCGGCAUGCUUUACACAUGCAAGUCGAACGGUAACAGGCCUUCGGGUGCUGACGAGUGGCGAACGGGUGAGUAAUGCAUCGGAACGUACCCAGAGGUGGGGGAUAACGCAGCGCAAGCUGUGCUAAUACCGCAUGUGAUCUGAGGAUGAAAGCGGGGGACCGGGCAGCAAUGUUUGGCCUCGCGCCUUUGGACGCGCCGUUGUCGGAUUAGCUAGUUGGUGGGGUAAAGGCCUACCAAGGCGACGAUCCGUAGCUGGACUGAGAGGCCGAUCGGCCACACUGGGACUGGGACACGGCCAAGACUCCUGCGGGAGGCCGCAGUGGGGAAGUGUAGGCAGUGGGGGCAAGCCUGGUCCAGCAAUGCCGCGUGCGGGAAGAAGGCCUUCGGGUUGUAAACAGCUUUUGGCAGGAACGAAACGGUGUCCGCUAAUACCGGGCGCUAAUGACGGUACCUGCAGAAUAAGCACCGGCUAACUACGUG
RNAcentral lists this ribosomal RNA (492 nucleotides) under uncultured bacterium. RNAcentral's name for it is "partial 16S ribosomal RNA". It matches the Rfam family "Bacterial small subunit ribosomal RNA", at positions 28 to 507 of the family's 1533-position model. The record is from RNAcentral.